RNAcentral lists this unclassified non-coding RNA (145 nucleotides) under uncultured Pseudeurotium. RNAcentral's name for it is "sequence contains ITS2". Lineage: Eukaryota; Fungi; Ascomycota; Leotiomycetes; Thelebolales; Pseudeurotiaceae. The record is from RNAcentral.
CAACCCUCAAGCUCUGCUUGGUAUUGGGCUCUGCCGGUCCUGGCAGGCCUCAAAGUCAGUGGCGGUGCCAUCCGGCUCCAAGCGUAGUAACUCUUCUCGCUUCGGGGCCGCGGUGCGUGCUGGCCAGCAACCCCCAAUUUUUUCA